AAAGUCUUUUACACUUACGAGAAUCAAAGAUGGUAUCCUGUAGAUGGAUAUGGAGUAAGACGACUUCCAACUGACCGCUAUGAAUGGAGCGAUGAAACUGGAAUACUAGAACGUCGUCAAGAGGGCUAUCCGCUACCUAACUCAGACUGGCAAUGGAGUGGGAAUACAGCUGCGAAAAACAUUGGAAUGAUUGCGUGAGAAGACGUCGAUGGCAAAGGUAGCGAAUUGAAUACUUAUUUACUUGAAUGGUUGGUAGGGAAGGGGGACUGGAAGGA
Xenia sp. Carnegie-2017 is the source of this 275-nucleotide long non-coding RNA. RefSeq lists it as uncharacterized. The transcript has 3 exons. Lineage: Eukaryota; Metazoa; Cnidaria; Anthozoa; Malacalcyonacea; Xeniidae. The record is from RefSeq and is a predicted model, not a curated record.